AGAGUUUGAUCAUGGCUCAGGAUGAACGCUAGCUACAGGCUUAACACAUGCAAGUCGAGGGGAAACGACAUCGAAAGCUUGCUUUUGAUGGGCGUCGACCGGCGCACGGGUGAGUAACGCGUAUCCAACCUGCCCACCACUUGGGGAUAACCUUGCGAAAGUAAGACUAAUACCCAAUGACGUCUCUAGAAGGCAUCUGAAAGAGAUUAAAGAUUUAUCGGUGAUGGAUGGGGAUGCGUCUGAUUAGCUUGUUGGCGGGGUAACGGCCCACCAAAGCAACGAUCAGUAGGGGUUCUGAGAGGAAGGUCCCCCACAUUGGAACUGAGACACGGUCCAAACUCCUACGGGAGCA
RNAcentral lists this ribosomal RNA (352 nucleotides) under uncultured bacterium. Its description in RNAcentral is "bacterial SSU rRNA". It matches the Rfam family "Bacterial small subunit ribosomal RNA", at positions 8 to 349 of the family's 1533-position model. The record is from RNAcentral.